RNAcentral lists this ribosomal RNA (433 nucleotides) under uncultured organism. RNAcentral describes it as "bacterial SSU rRNA". It matches the Rfam family "Bacterial small subunit ribosomal RNA", at positions 346 to 794 of the family's 1533-position model. The record is from RNAcentral.
GUGCAGCAGGCAAGAAUUUUUCACAAUGGGGAAACCCUGAUGGAGCGACGCCGCGUGGAGGAUGAAGGCGUUUUCGUCGUAAACUCCUGUCAUGCGAGAACAAGAAAGUGAUAGUAUCGCAAGAGGAAGAGGCGGCUAACUCUGUGCCAGCAGCCGCGGUAAUACAGAGGCCUCAAGCGUUGUUCGGAUUCAUUGGGCGUAAAGGGUGCGUAGGUGGCAUGGUAAGUUGAAGGUGAAAUCUCGGAGCUCAACUCCGAAACUGCCUUCAAUACUGCUGUGCUCGAGGACUGUAGAGGAGAAUGGAAUUCACGGUGUAGCAGUGAAAUGCGUAGAUAUCGUGAGGAAGACCAGUGGCGAAGGCGAUUCUCUGGGCAGUUCCUGACACUGAGGCACGAAGGCUAGGGGAGCAAACGGGAUUAGAUACCUCUGUAGU